AACGCACAUUGCGCCCUCUGGUAUUCCAGAGGGCAUGCCUGUUUGAGCGUCAUUUCUCUCUCAAACCCCCGGGUUUGGUAUUGAGUGAUACUCUUAGUCGGACUAGGCGUUUGCUUGAAAAGUAUUGGCAUGGGUAGUACUGGAUAGUACUGUCGACCUCUCAAUGUAUUAGGUUUAUCCAACUCGUUGAAUGGUGUGGCGGGAUAUUUCUGGUAUUGUUGGCCCGGCCUUACAACAACCAAACAAGUUUGACCUCAAAUCAGGUAGGAAUACCCGCUGAACUUAA
This 286-nucleotide unclassified non-coding RNA is filed under the name uncultured Saccharomycetales. RNAcentral's name for it is "sequence contains 5.8S rRNA gene, ITS2, 28S rRNA gene". The stretch from base 1 to 52 matches the Rfam family "5.8S ribosomal RNA", at positions 103 to 154 of the family's 154-position model. The record is from RNAcentral. Lineage: Eukaryota; Fungi; Ascomycota; Saccharomycetes.